GUGAUUUGGCGAGAGCCUUAUUCUAUAAUCUUACCUAACAACCGUGAACCGUAUCGGCCCUCGGGUCGUGUCUUUACAAACAUAGUGUAAUGAACGUCAUAUCAUAUAACAAAAACA
RNAcentral lists this unclassified non-coding RNA (117 nucleotides) under uncultured fungus. Its description in RNAcentral is "sequence contains ITS1". Lineage: Eukaryota; Fungi. The record is from RNAcentral.